This 856-nucleotide long non-coding RNA is filed under the name Ananas comosus (pineapple). RNAcentral's name for it is "long non-coding RNA (ACOM_LNC041005)". Lineage: Eukaryota; Viridiplantae; Streptophyta; Magnoliopsida; Poales; Bromeliaceae. The record is from RNAcentral.
AUGAACCAUAUCCAAGUUCAUGAACCAAAUCCAUACACCAAACCCAUGAACCAUAUCCAAGUUCAUGAACUAAAUCCAUACACCAAACCCAUGAACCAUAUCCAAGUUCAUAAACCAAAUCCAUACACCAAACUCAUGAACCAUAUCAAAGUUCAUGAACCAAAUCCAUACACCAAAUUCAUGAACCAUAUCCAAAUUUAUGAACCAAGUCCAUACACCAAAUUCAUGAACCAUAUCCAAAUUCAUGAACCAUAUCUCAUGAGCCAAUACUCAAAUCUCAUGAACAAAUACCCAAAUCUUAUCGUGAACCUUUUAUUACUCUGGCACAUAUACCUAAAGUAAAAAUUAAAUAUCGACUACCCCUAAUACAUAUACUUAGGGCUAUGUCAAUCGCCUUGGCACAUAUAACUAAGGCAAAACAUCUCCAAAUCGACAGAAUUCUAAAUCAUACACUUAGAAUUCAGUCAAAUGAUAUCAAGUUUAUUCGAACUCUAACAUAUAUACUUAGAGUUCAUCCGACUAACCGUAACACAUAUACUUAGGGUCUAGUCAGUCUUUUGCUCUAGCACAUAUAUCUAGAGUGGAAGUCAAACCGUGGUCGACUAACCCUAACCCAUAUACUUAGGGUCUAGUCAGUCUUUUGCUCUAGCACAUAUACCUAGAGUAGAAGUCAAACUGUCACGCCCCGGAUUACACGUUCCCCGGGCACGCCGACAGAUCCGCCGUAUACAAAGAAAUUUUCCCUGUAUACGAAGCGAUAGCUGUACCUGUAAAUCAAACACUACUACGAACAGUAGUAGAGAGCUGCUAGAAAAAAACUGAAGCUAAAUAAAACAGAGUUUCAUAUACAUAGUUC